Molecule: ribosomal RNA, 600 nt
Filed under: Lepetodrilus sp. associated epsilon proteobacterium
Lineage: Bacteria; Pseudomonadati; Campylobacterota
Description: bacterial SSU rRNA
Rfam family: Bacterial small subunit ribosomal RNA
Source: RNAcentral
CAGAUUAUACUCUAGGGAUAGACGGGACCCGCACAAGCGGUGGAGCAUGUGGUUUAAUUCGACGAUACGCGAAGAAGCUUACAUGGACUUGACAUCCUAUAAAUGAUUUAGAGAUAGAUUAGUGCUAGUUUACUAGAAUAUAGUGACAGGUGCUGCACGGCUGUCGUCAGCUCGUGUCGUGAGAUGUUGGGUUAAGUCCCGCAACGAGCGCAACCCUCGUCGUUAGUUGCUAACAGUUCGGCUGAGCACCCUAACGAGACUGCCUUCGUAAGGAGGAGGAAGGUGAGGACGACGUCAAGUCAUCAUGGCCCUUAUGUCCAGGGCUACACACGUGCUACAAUGGCCAGGACAAUGAGACGCAAUACCGCGAGGUGGAGCAAAUCUAUAAACCUGGUCUCAGUUCGGAUAGCACUCUGCAACUCGAGUGCUUGAAGCUGGAAUCGCUAGUAAUCGUAGAUCAGCAAUGCUACGGUGAAUACGUUCCCGGGUCUUGUACUCACCGCCCGUCACACCAUGGGAAUUUAGUUCACCCGAAGUCGGAACGCCAAAUUGGCUACCGCCCACGGUGGGCUCAGUAACUGGGGUGAAGUCGUAACAAGG